GCUCUAAUAGCUCAGUUGGUAGGGCAUUCGUCUAGUUAACGAGAAGUCCCCAGUUCGAUUCUGGGUGCAGGCA
This is a non-coding RNA of Phlebotomus papatasi, 73 nucleotides long. The record is from Rfam. Lineage: Eukaryota; Metazoa; Arthropoda; Insecta; Diptera; Psychodidae.